UCUGAAAGUAAUUCAAGAUGUGGCGGC
Molecule: non-coding RNA, 27 nt
Filed under: Bombyx mori (domestic silkworm)
Lineage: Eukaryota; Metazoa; Arthropoda; Insecta; Lepidoptera; Bombycidae
Source: RNAcentral